RNAcentral lists this long non-coding RNA (1211 nucleotides) under Helianthus annuus (common sunflower). RNAcentral describes it as "hypothetical non coding rna". The record is from RNAcentral. Lineage: Eukaryota; Viridiplantae; Streptophyta; Magnoliopsida; Asterales; Asteraceae.
AAAGGACAAAACGUGCAACAAAAUUCCAUGUAAAGUGCAAAACCUGCCAAAUUCGUUGAAAAGGACACCGCCUGAUAUAUGGUAUUAAGAUAAAGGACAUUUCUUGUAAUUUUUCCGAAAGUCAAUUGCCUCUCCAAUGAUGCUAGAUUUAAUUCUUCACUAUAUUGGUUAUCAAAUUCAUCAUGAUGGUACUUAAUCACUGUUUAUUUUAAUCCCUAAACUAUUAAAAAUACCAACCCUAUUAAUUGAACCAACACCAACUCACCAGUCCCCUUAAUAAAAAAAUCAGAAAAUUAUCUAAUAAAAAUACCACUAAGACUUUUAAUAUAAAAUCUAUAAAAUAUCCCAUUUAUGGUCUGCCAGUGAUCAUCCUACUAUCCUAGGUAUCGCAAAAUAAUUACCAAUUCAAUGAACAUCCAGUAGGGAAUGCAAUGCCCGCUUGCAGACCAUUUUCCGAUAUUAACUUACGAACAGUAUCCUCCAAGGUUUCACACAGGUCAACCAUCAGCAUUCCAGGCUUCAUAAUGCUCCUCAUAUAUUUCCGCACCUGAAAACAAAGCACCAUAUGUUAAGAGCACAAGCAGUAAUAGAUAUUCUCAAAACCCAAAUACUACUUCUAAAUAAUACCCCAGUAGCAAAAGAUACAAAAAAAAGAAAAGAAACCUGACGGUGAACUUCUGCCGCUUGUCGUAUUGAGUCAUACAUAGGCUUUUCUAAGCGCUCUAAAUCUCUCUUUUCUUCAGAUGUAGUCCUCCAUAAGUUACUGAAAAGUCAAGCGGGAAUUACAAUUCAAAUGCCCAUUGGAAAAUAUAAAUUAAAUUUACAUACAUAGUGGACCCUUACUCGUCCUUAUAUUGCUGAAUUUCACCCUCUGGAAAGUCUCCUUGUGGGAAAAGUUGGGCAACUGGAAUAGUAGGUGGAUCAGUUUGCUCCUUUGUUUCCUUUUUCUUCCUGGGAUGAUAAAUGGUAACUAAGAAAACCGAAGAACUAGAUGGAUGAUGAUAUUGUGAACAGCAAGUCACAAGUGGGUUGAUGGUCUGUUUGCUGCAAUGGAUUAGGAAGUCUAGUAACCCGUAAAUAAAAAUCUAGGUUAUCGGAUCAUGUUUUGUUUAUGAGAACUCGCUAUCUGUAAUAACUGUUUGUUGAAUAUUUGUUCGUUAGUAUGGGAUGAUGAACCUUAAAAAUAUUGGUAAUGAAUAGUUGUUAUGGAU